GAGAAGCCUUGCGUGCACUGUUAGCAAACUCACACAAGUGAAGAGGGACCUUUCUUUGCUACACAGCGUCCUCCGUGGCGAGCUGGAGGGAAGCGCUCUCAGCAGAGAGGGUCGCCCUCACCAAGAAGCCAAAGGGAAGAGGACAGAAUCUUUCUUGUAGGGACGCCCUUGGUCUUCAGAAGGAACACUUUUUCUGUUUCACAGAGAUCUGUGGAAUGUGUGGGUUCCCUGAAGAGGUGGACGGACCCCCGGGGUCGCGCGUUUUCUCAGCCCUGGGCCCGUAGCGGAGCUCGAUCCUUCCAGAGCUCAGGGCCAGAAAUGUUGCGAUUCCGAACACUUUCCCUUUCUUCUGAGAGGAGCCGCCCGGCAGACGCUCAUCAUUAAGAAGCAAGAUAUGUCCACCGCAUUACAAAUGGGAUUCUCUGGCAUCUGACCAACCCUCACAAUGGCUACUGGCCAUCUCAUGCCCAACAGGACAAUGCUUAUUUCCACCAGGAGAUGGCGCAUGCCCUUUUUUUUUUUUUUUUUUAAAUCCCCAGGAAGGUCUCAGUGCUGCAAAAGCUCCAUGACCAUUCUGCUUCUAAACUGAUGAAGCAAACAUAUAUUUCCAGUGGUAAUGCUAGGAAAUACUUUGCUAAGGAUGUUACUUUGGUCCUUCAGCCAGUGGUCAGAGAACAGAAUGACCAUACUGCAACCACCCAUGGUGAACUGACUGGCACACCCACAAAAAUCUUAUCUUUGGGGUCCCCAUAGUACCCAGUGGAUUGCCUUGCACAUUGUAGGUGCUCAGUAUGUGUUUGCUAAAGACAUGGCCCUGGAUAAAUCACUUCACCUCAAUUAGUCUGUUUUCCAAAUCUGAAAAUAAAAGCGGUGAAAUGGACAAGGUGACAGUUAAGGCCUUGAAUCAGAAGAGCCUCUGACAACGUGACAAAUAGCUUAUGCUUGCUGAAUGGCUGACUUCUCUGAAAGGGAAAACAGCAGAAUCUGAGAGGGGAGACUGGAGCGGAGUUCUUCCUCCCCUGUGCUAACAGGUAUGUGAUUCCUAUUAUUGUCUUUGGUGGGAAGGGAAGCAUGAGGCAGGCCCCUGGUCUACAGUAGAAGUGAAGCCUGAGGAUAGGCUAAGAAUUAGGGAAAUUAACAGGCUCCUAGGAGUCAGAAUGCUCAGCUUCUAUUCCUAGCACUGCUUAAAAUUUUCAGGGGAAAGUACUUUUAAUCCUUGCAGCAUUUGGUGCCUUUAUUAGAAAAUCCUUUUAUGUGAGAUUUUGAGUUUCUUAUUUUCUCUCCUCACCAGGAUAACGCACAGAAAGAGCUGAGGUGGGAGUCCGAGAGACAGGGGUCUGACAUGUAUAAUAUACUCUGCUGCACAGGAUUAUCAUGAGGGUUAAAUGAAAUAAUAAAUGUAGAUUACACUUAGCUCAGGACCUGCCACACACUUAGCUGAGGGCCAGGAAUUCAAUAACCAAUGACUAUCAAUGUCAAUCAUUCUAGCUAUUUUGUAGAUGCAAAGUCCAACAGAAACAGAAAGGGUGCAAAGCUAAAACUUUUAAAAUACUCAGACCCAGACUCUAAUCCAUUAAAAAAAAAAAAAGCAAAAAACAAAAAAGAUAAUCCCUAAUUUUUCCUAACCUUGCAUUUUUCCAUUGAGAGGUGGCGACUUCCUAAAAUGGAGGUAGACAGAUAGAUAGAGAAUCUGUAUAACAAUAUAGGUAAUCUAGAUACCUAUAUCUUUGUAAGGAAACCAGGUAAGGGACACUUGAGAAACUCAACUCAUGAAAACAAAUGCUACUUUUCUGUAAUCACAAGGAAAACUGAACUGGGAGAGCGGGUGAGAGUGUGGGGGGUUGGGGAGCCCCACUAAAGCUUCUAGGGAGGAAGGGACAGUUCGAGGCCAGGACUUGCUGGUUGCACGUACCUGGCGCUUGU
Gorilla gorilla gorilla (western lowland gorilla) is the source of this 1923-nucleotide long non-coding RNA. RefSeq lists it as uncharacterized. The record is from RefSeq and is a predicted model, not a curated record. The transcript has 3 exons. NCBI's taxonomy places the organism in Eukaryota, Metazoa, Chordata, Mammalia, Primates, Hominidae.